RNAcentral lists this long non-coding RNA (988 nucleotides) under Numida meleagris (helmeted guineafowl). Its description in RNAcentral is "lncRNA (ENSNMEG00000001070.1)". The record is from RNAcentral. Lineage: Eukaryota; Metazoa; Chordata; Aves; Galliformes; Numididae.
CUUGGGACUUGUUUGGUUUGGGAUGGGAUGGGUUUGGAAUGGGAUGGAUUUGGGAUGGGAUGGAUUUGGGAUGGGAUGGAUUUGGGAUGGGAUGGAUUUGGGAUGGGAUGGAUUUGGGAUGGGAUGGGAUGGUUUGGGAUGUGUUUGGUUUGGUUUGGGAUGGGAUGGAUUUGGGAUGGGAUGGGUUUGGGAUGGGAUGGGUUUGGGAUGGGGAUGGCAUGAAUUUGGGAUGUGUUUCGUUUGGGAUGGGAUGGAUUUGGGAUGUGCUUGGUUUGGGAUGGGGAUGGGAUGGAUUUGGGACGUGUUUGGUUUGGGAUGGGAUGGGUCUGGGAUGGGACGGGAUGGGUUUGGGACGUGUUUGGUUUGGGAUGGGACGGGUUUGGGAUGGGACGUGUUUGGUUUGGGACGGGAUGGAUUUGGGACGGGAUGGAUUUCGGACGUGUUUGGUUUGGGACAGGAUGGGUCUGGGACGGGAUGGAUUUGGGAUGGGAUGGAUUUGGGACAGGAUGGAUUUGGGACAGGAUGGAUUUGGGACAGGAUGGAUUUGGGACAGGAUGGAUUUGGGACAGGAUGGGUUUGGGAUGUGUUUGGUUUGGGACGGGAUGGGUUUGGGACGGGAUGGGUUUGGGAUGUGUUUGGUUUGGGAUGGGAUGGAUUUGGGAUAGGAUGGGAUGGGUUUGGGAUGGGAUGGGUUUGGGACGGGAUGGAUUUGGGAUGGGACGGGAUGGGUUUGGGACGUGUUUGGUUUGGGAUGGGAUGGGUUUGGGAUGGGAUGGGUUUGGUUUGGGACGUGUUUGGUUUGGGAUGGGACGUGUUUGGUUUGGGACGUGUUUGGUUUGGUUUGGGACGUGUCUGGUUUGGGAUGGGUUGGUGACACGUCCCGUCCCAGCUGUGCCCGCGUGGGCGCUGGGUGCAGCCCCGUCCCGGCCCCCGCCCGGCGCAGCAGGAAUCCCCAGCGCCGCGUUCCUGGCCGGGGCGGCGGCGUGGC